Molecule: transfer RNA, 67 nt
Filed under: uncultured Eubacterium sp.
Lineage: Bacteria; Bacillati; Bacillota; Clostridia; Eubacteriales; Eubacteriaceae
Also listed under: 1 other name
Rfam family: tRNA
About the family: Transfer RNA (tRNA) molecules are approximately 80 nucleotides in length.
Source: RNAcentral
CGGGUGUAGUUCAUUGGUAGAACACCAGCCUUCCAAGCUGGAUAGGUGGGUUCGAUUCCCAUCACCC